AGUGGAUGGGGAGCAACCUAGUUGUGCGUGUGUAAAGGUAGUGCCAAGAAAAGCGAUGAUCAUGUUGAAAAUCAAUUCCCGGUACCCGAAACCGACACAGGGGGGCAAGUAGAGAAUACUAAGGGGCGCGAGGUAACUCUCUCCAAGGAACUCGGCAAAAUGACCCCGUAACUUAGGGAGAAGGGGUGCCACCGAGAGGUGGUCGCAGUGAAGAGGCCCAGGCGACUGUUUAGCAAAAACAUAGGUCUCUGCAAACUCGAAAGAGGAGGUAUAGGGGCUGACGCCUGCCCAGUGCCGGAAGGUUAAAGAAGUUGGUCAGUCUUAGGAUGAAGCUAGCGACUGAAGCCCCGGUGAACGGCGGCCGUAACUAUAACGGUCCUAAGGUAGCGAAAUUCCUUGUCGGGUAAGUUCCGACCCGCACGAAAGGCGUAACGAUCUGGGCGCUGUCUCGGAGAGAGGCUCGGCGAAAUAGGAUUGUCUGUGAAGAUACGGACUACCUGCAUUUGGACAGAAAGACCCUAUGAAGCUUUACUAUAGCUUGGAAUUGUGUUCGGGCUUCCUGUGCGCAGGAUAGGUGGGAGGCGUAGAAGGUAUUCUUGUGGGGAUACUGGAGCCAACGGUGAGAUACCACUCUCAGGAGGCUAGAAUUCUAACUUAAUUAAGGACAGUUUCAGGUGGGUAGUUUGACUGGGGCGGUCGCCUCCAAAAAGGUAACGGAGGCGUACAAAGGUUCCCUCAGACUGGUUGGAAAUCAGUCGAAGAGUGCAAAGGCAGAAGGGAGCUUGACUGCGAGAAGUACAGUUCGAGCAGGGUGGAAACACGGUCUUAGUGAUCCGACGGUGCUGUGUGGAAGGGCCGUCGCUCAACGGAUAAAAGUUACUCUAGGAUAACAGGCUGAUCUCCCCCAAGAGUUCACAUCGACGGGGAGGUUUGGCACCUCGAUGUCGGCUCAUCGCAACCUGGGGCGGAAGUACGUCCCAAGGGUUGGGCUGUUCGCCCAUUAAAGCGGUACGUGAGCUGGGUUCAGAACGUCGUGAGACAGUUCGGUCCAUAUCCGAUGUAGGCGUGAGAAUAUUGAGAGGAACCUUCCUUAUUACGAGAGGACCGGGAGGGACGCACCGCUGGUGUACCUGUUAUGAUGCCAAUUGUAAACGCAGGGUAGCCAAGUGCGGAGAGGAUAACCGCUGAAAGCAUCUAAGUGGGAAGCCCACCUCAAGAUGAGUAUUCUGGUGUAAGGUCACGGGAAGACGACCCGUAAAUAGGCACGAGGUGGAAGUGCAGAGAUGUAUGAAGCCGAAGUGUACUAAUAGACCGUCGGC
This 1319-nucleotide ribosomal RNA is filed under the name metagenome. RNAcentral describes it as "bacterial LSU rRNA". It matches the Rfam family "Bacterial large subunit ribosomal RNA", at positions 1561 to 2925 of the family's 2925-position model. The record is from RNAcentral.